RNAcentral lists this long non-coding RNA (1024 nucleotides) under Mus musculus (house mouse). Its description in RNAcentral is "predicted gene 20544". The record is from RNAcentral. Lineage: Eukaryota; Metazoa; Chordata; Mammalia; Rodentia; Muridae.
GCAAACAACAGAUCGGGUUUCUAAAAGCUAUUUCAACCCCCCUCCCAGUUACUGCCACCCUCUCCCAGGUCUAGAGAGGGGUACCCACGGUGGAGGGAGGUGGGAGGCCGAGACGGCCCCGGGGGUCGGCGGAGACCCAGCGGGAGCAGGGGGAAAUCGGAAGAGCUGGGGGCAUGGAGCGGGCGAGUUUGGAGCGGAAUGAGCCGGGAGCCCUACGUUGUGGAAGGAAGACAACAGUAUAGGACCAUCAGCAGGACCGGACAGAGAGGGGCACGUAAGCAGUAAUUACUGGAUGGCAUAGUAAUUCUACUAAAAAUUAAAAUGCCACUUAUUGGAAUGGUGUGUGAACACUCUAAAGCAACCCGGGAAGAAGACAGCAGUCAAGAAGACCAAGGAAGGAAAUGGAGGAGGGAUGACCCCACCAUUACAGGGUUUCUCUGUAUAGCCCUGGCUGUCCUGGAACUUGUAGACCAGGCUGGCCUUGAACUCAGAAAUCCGCCUGCCUCUGACUCCCGAGUGCUGAGAUUAAAGGUGUGCACCACCACACCCGACAAGGAAGCCUGUUUUAAGAAGUGAUUCCAUGGAGGAGUUCUGCGGCGGCUCAGGGCUUGACUAAACAGUGGACCUCAGACAAGAGAGGCUAAACCAGGCUGCAGGUGACAGGAAGAAUUGAAUAAACUGAAAGCAAAGGGCAGCCUUCUAAUUACGCUUCGUGGCUAUGUGGACAACCUGGAGAAGUCUGGAAACCUUUCCUCCUCCAUUUUACUACUUGAGGGAGCAGUGGGUGGGAUACUAGAAAGAAGCCAGAAGCCCGAAGCCAGCAGUAGAGCUCUGACUGGCUUGUAUGCCUAGAAAGGAAGGGCUCUUCUUUCGCCUCACGGGCACAAAUGGGACCCACGAGCGCCGAUUUCAGACUAUUCUGAUCCCUUCAAAAAGAAAGUUAGGAGUCCAGGCUACUGUGAGUGAAUUUGAUUCUAAUUGUUUCAGAGAAUAUGGAAUAAAAUAUCUCAUUUGCAGUUGUUUA